Molecule: ribosomal RNA, 255 nt
Filed under: uncultured bacterium
Lineage: Bacteria
Description: partial 16S ribosomal RNA
Rfam family: Bacterial small subunit ribosomal RNA
Source: RNAcentral
UACGUAGGGUGCAAGCGUUAAUCGGAAUUACUGGGCGUAAAGCGUGCGCAGGCGGUUAUGUAAGACAGUUGUGAAAUCCCCGGGCUCAACCUGGGAACUGCAUCUGUGACUGCAUAGCUAGAGUACGGGUAGAGGGGGAUGGAAUUCCGCGUGUAGCAGUGAAAUGCGUAGAGAUGUGGAGGAACACCGAUGGCGAAGGGCAGCCUUCUGGGCCAACACUGACGCUCAUGCACGAAAGCGUGGGGAGCAAACAGG